RNAcentral lists this transfer RNA (70 nucleotides) under Loxodonta africana (African savanna elephant). It matches the Rfam family "tRNA". From Rfam's summary of the family: Transfer RNA (tRNA) molecules are approximately 80 nucleotides in length. Their secondary structure includes four short double-helical elements and three loops (D, anti-codon, and T loops). Further hydrogen bonds mediate the characteristic L-shaped molecular structure. tRNAs have two regions of fundamental functional importance: the anti-codon, which is responsible for specific mRNA codon recognition, and the 3' end, to which the tRNAs corresponding amino acid is attached (by aminoacyl-tRNA synthetases). tRNAs cope with the degeneracy of the genetic code in two manners: having more than one tRNA (with a specific anti-codon) for a particular amino acid; and 'wobble' base-pairing, i.e. permitting non-standard base-pairing at the 3rd anti-codon position. Lineage: Eukaryota; Metazoa; Chordata; Mammalia; Proboscidea; Elephantidae. The record is from Rfam by way of RNAcentral.
GCAGUGGAGAUUCAGUGGUAGGGUUCUCACUUGCCAUGUGGGAGACUGGGUUCAAUUCCCAGCCAAUGUG